GCCUGGGUGGCUCAGUCGGUUAAGUGUCUGACUUUGGCUCAGAUCAUGAUCUCAUGGUUUGUGAGUUCGAGCCCCGCAUCAGGCU
Molecule: transfer RNA, 85 nt
Filed under: Felis catus (domestic cat)
Lineage: Eukaryota; Metazoa; Chordata; Mammalia; Carnivora; Felidae
Also listed under: 3 other names
Rfam family: tRNA
About the family: Transfer RNA (tRNA) molecules are approximately 80 nucleotides in length. Their secondary structure includes four short double-helical elements and three loops (D, anti-codon, and T loops).
Source: Rfam by way of RNAcentral